RNAcentral lists this ribosomal RNA (342 nucleotides) under Triticum aestivum (bread wheat). RNAcentral describes it as "partial small subunit ribosomal RNA". Lineage: Eukaryota; Viridiplantae; Streptophyta; Magnoliopsida; Poales; Poaceae. The record is from RNAcentral.
AUGUCUUCUAACCUGGUUGCAUUUUGUAAGCGUCCUUGUUUUGUCGGAGGGGGCGGCGACAACAGAGAAGCAUGUCCAACUAUAGCCACACAACUGAUCUCACAACUAGCUUUAUUAUUUUCUCGCAGCAGGGAGUGGGCAGUUUGCAAGAUAUUUUGGUCUUUUUGUUAUUUUUUAAAAAUCAUAUACUAUUUUUUUGCAUUGAAAAGAUUUUUCCCCAAGGGACCAGAACAAAAAACUACUUUGUUUUGUGAAAAAAGAGCAGAUAAAGCUGAAACAGUUACUUUUUUCUACAUCCAGGAACACAUAAAUGUUUGUUGUGAUGGAAUGGAGUAUCUAUAG